RNAcentral lists this transfer RNA (76 nucleotides) under Candidatus Uhrbacteria bacterium RIFCSPHIGHO2_02_FULL_60_10. RNAcentral describes it as "tRNA-Ala". It matches the Rfam family "tRNA". Rfam says of the family: Transfer RNA (tRNA) molecules are approximately 80 nucleotides in length. Their secondary structure includes four short double-helical elements and three loops (D, anti-codon, and T loops). The record is from RNAcentral. Lineage: Bacteria; Candidatus Uhriibacteriota.
GGGCCCGUAGCUCAUUUGGUAGAGCGCUGCAUUCGCAUUGCAGAGGCAAGGAGUUCGAGCCUCCUCGGGUCCACCA